UCCUAAAGUGCUGGGAUUACAGGUGUGAGCCACCUUGCUCAUUCUAGUUUAAACUUUUGAAUGGUUUGUGUCUCCUGAUUGGACUCCUACAAAUACAGAGUCGAUGCUAGGAAGGGUACCAGGAGAUAGACACACACAGAUGGGAUUUGGGAGUAGGUUUGGUUAUCCAAGGAGCAGUGCUGAGCUCCUUGCUAAUGGGAUAUGGGAUGCUGGUGAUUUCCAGGAAGUGACUUCACAAUGACUCAAGCUACCAUAUACUGUUGAUUGUGAAAUGCCAGUUGAAGCAUAUGUCCUGUGAGCUUAGGGGUGCUACAGGUUGACCACUGCAGCAGUAAAGAUGACUCUGAAGAAUGGCAUGGGAUGGAUCCUUUCGAAUGCACUUGAGCAGCGGUCUCCAACCACAGGGCCACAGAGCUGGAGCUGGAUCUACCAUGAACGACUUCUGAAUCCAGGAAGAGAGACUGACUGGGCAACAUGUUAUUCAGGUACAAAAAGAUUUGGACUGUAACUCAAAAAUGAUCAAAUGAUAGUGCAUGCAUCAAGUGCAAUGGGAAGCUCUUCU
Molecule: small RNA, 562 nt
Filed under: Pongo abelii (Sumatran orangutan)
Lineage: Eukaryota; Metazoa; Chordata; Mammalia; Primates; Hominidae
Description: retained intron
Source: RNAcentral